CGGGAGGCAGCAGUAGGGAAUAUUGGGCAAUGGACGAAAGUCUGACCCAGCCAUGCCGCGUGCAGGAUGACAGCCCUCUGGGUUGUAAACUGCUUUUAUAUAGGAAGAAACCCUUGGAUGCGUCCGAGGCUGACGGUACUAUUUGAAUAAGGAUCGGCUAAUUCCGUGCCAGCAGCCGCGGUAAUACGGAAGGUCCAAGCGUUAAUCGGAAUUACUGGGCGUAAAGCGCGCGUAGGUGGUUUACUAAGUUGGGUGUGAAAGCCCCGGGCUCAACCUGGGAACUGCAUCCAAAACUGAUUCACUAGAGUACGAAAGAGGGAGGUAGAAUUCACAGUGUAGCGGUGGAAUGCGUAGAUAUUGUGAAGAAUACCAAUGGCGAAGGCAGCCUCCUGGUUCUGUACUGACACUGAGGUGCGAAAGCGUGGGUAGCGAACAGGAUUAGAUACCCUGGUAGUCCACGCCGUAAACGAUGACAACCAGCUGUUGGGAAGCAAUGCUUUUCAGUGGCGCAGCUAACGUCUUAAGUUGUCCGCCUGGGGAGUACGGCCGCAAGGUUAAAACUCAAAUGAAUUG
This 573-nucleotide ribosomal RNA is filed under the name uncultured bacterium. RNAcentral's name for it is "bacterial SSU rRNA". It matches the Rfam family "Bacterial small subunit ribosomal RNA", at positions 342 to 912 of the family's 1533-position model. The record is from RNAcentral.